CGGUGUUUAACUGGCGUGAUGUGGGACGUCCUACCGGUGGGCUUAGCCUCGCGAGGGGCGGCCCAACUAAUAUCCCGUCGCGGUGCUCUUUACUGAGUGUCGAGUCGGGCCGGUACGUUUACUUUGAACAAAUUAGAGUGCUUAAAGCAGGCUAUCCUCGCCUGAAUACUGCGUGCAUGGAAUAAUGGAAUAGGACCUCGGUUCUAUUUUGUUGGUUUUCGGAACCCCGAGGUAAUGAUUAAUAGGGACAGAUGGGGGCAUUCGUAUUGCGACGUUAGAGGUGAAAUUCUUGGAUCGUCGCAAGACGGACAGAAGCGAAAGCAUUUGUCAAAAAUGUUUUCAUUAAUCAAGAACGAAAGUUAGAGGUUCGAAGGCGAUCAGAUACCGCCCUAGUUCUAACCAUAAACGAUGCCAGCUAGCGAUCCGCCGAAGUUCCUCCGAUGACUCGGCGGGCAGCUUCCGGGAAACCAAAGCUUUUGGGUUCCGGGGGAAGUAUGGUUGCAAAGCUGAAACUUAAAGGAAUUGACGGAAGGGCACCACCAGGAGUGGAGCCUGCGGCUUAAUUUGACUCAACACGGGAAACCUCACCAGGCCCAGACACCGGAAGGAUUGACAGAUUGAUAGCUCUUUCUUGAUUCGGUGGGUGGUGGUGCAUGGGCCGUUCUUAGUUGGUGGAGCGAUUUGUCUGGUUAAUUCCGAUAACGAACGAGACUCUAGCCUGCUAAAUAGGCGUACCUUAUGGUAUCGCGAAGGCCCCCGGCUUCGGCCGGUGGGUUUUUACUACCAACGUACAAACAAAUCUUCUUAGAGGGACAGGCGG
Molecule: ribosomal RNA, 820 nt
Filed under: uncultured eukaryote
Lineage: Eukaryota
Description: SSU rRNA
Rfam family: Eukaryotic small subunit ribosomal RNA
Source: RNAcentral